Long non-coding RNA from Mytilus californianus (California mussel), 650 nucleotides. RefSeq lists it as uncharacterized. The transcript has 3 exons. The record is from RefSeq and is a predicted model, not a curated record. Lineage: Eukaryota; Metazoa; Mollusca; Bivalvia; Mytilida; Mytilidae.
GUGUUAGCUUUUUGUUCAAGUCUUACUAUCGCUCAAAAAAGGACCACCAUAACUGGAGAUUUAACCAAGAACAAAGAUAUUGGAACAAGGGUAGAUCUUGGGAUUUCCCAUCAACGCAAAAAAUGGAGAUUUGACGGAUCAGCCUUUGGAUCAUCAAGAGGUCAUAGAGGAGGGAGUUUAGGGAUAUCACACAAACGUAAAAAUUUUGAAUUUGGAGGAUCAGUUUUCGGAGACAAUCGGGGAAAUCGAGGUGCGAAAGUAGGCUUCAAAUGGAAGUUUGGAAAGAGAUCUACAGCAUGGAACGGUGAACAUUUUGAAGUUCGAGUUGUAGUAAACCAUUGUGACUUCAAUGUUUAAGAUAUAAAUGAAGACAAUGUUAUCACAGUUGAUGAGAUUUAUGAACUAUUUCCUCAAAGAACUGAUGCACAUAGGUUGUUCAAGGCGCUUGAUUCUACAUCAGUUGAUGGUAAAGUGACCAUUGAUGAAUUUAAGAUGAUGGCACCACAAGUUAUAAAGAAAUGUGGAUAUAACAAGUAUACGUAUUAAUGAUAGUUCUUGUUAAAUAUAUAUCAUUGAAGCGAUAGUGAAAAUCAUACAUGUAAAUAAUAGAUCAAUAUCUGAAUAUUUUAUUAUAAAACAAAUGACAUAUG